RNAcentral lists this ribosomal RNA (484 nucleotides) under uncultured bacterium. RNAcentral describes it as "partial 16S ribosomal RNA". It matches the Rfam family "Bacterial small subunit ribosomal RNA", at positions 30 to 507 of the family's 1533-position model. The record is from RNAcentral.
AUUGAACGCUGGCGGCAGGCCUAACACAUGCAAGUCGAGCGGAUGAAGGGAGCUUGCUCCUGGAUUCAGCGGCGGACGGGUGAGUAAUGCCUAGGAAUCUGCCUGGUAGUGGGGGAUAACGUCCGGAAACGGGCGCUAAUACCGCAUACGUCCCGAGGGAGAAAGUGGGGGAUCUUCGGACCUCACGCUAUCAGAUGAGCCUAGGUCGGAUUAGCUAGUUGGUGGGGUAAAGGCCUACCAAGGCGACGAUCCGUAACUGGUCUGAGAGGAUGAUCAGUCACACUGGAACUGAGACACGGUCCAGACUCCUACGGGAGGCAGCAGUGGGGAAUAUUGGACAAUGGGCGAAAGCCUGAUCCAGCCAUGCCGCGUGUGUGAAGAAGGUCUUCGGAUUGUAAAGCACUUUAAGUUGGGAGGAAGGGCAGCAAGUUAAUACCUUGCUGUUUUGACGUUACCAACAGAAUAAGCACCGGCUAACUUCGUG